UAUAGUUAACUAAAACUCCUGAACACCCUAAAAUAAAUGACACACAUAAAUGAGUAGGGUCAGUGCUUAUGCUGUUUAUAUUUUUUUCCUGUGCCCAUGUUAAAGUCCGUGUAAAGCAAUAUUAAAUGUGUUUGUAACCACCCAGCCAAAUUCGAACGAUUAAAAACCACCAAGUAAAUAAAAUAAAGUAUCAAAAUCUUGAAAAAGUCAUUUCUGCUCUCAAACGCCGGGGGGCGUGUCCGCUGUCAGCGCUGAAACCACGCCCACUCGCGGGAAAGCUGCCGCCUCUCUCUGUCAAAUACUGCUAAAAUCCAGACAUCAUUGGUAAUGUUAUUGUUUUAGUGCUUAUGCAAACAAGAAGUAAUUUUAUGUGUUGUUUGUUGAUUUUAAAUAUAACACUCGGUGAAACGAUUUAUGCGUCAGUACGUUUUGAACAUUUCCAGCACAUUUUAACAAUAACGUGAUAGGCCUACUACUGAUAACCGUGGUAAUUUUGGUCACUAUGAAAAGAAAUUUUCAUACCGUUUCAUCUCUAGUCCUGUCCCACCCACAUACAAUGGUUCCGACGCCCAUGGUUUAGCUACUUGCUUGAGCAACGUAACAUAUAAAUCUAAAAGUAAAACGCAUUGAAUAAUACGUUGCUUAUAUUUAUUGCAUUUAAACGUAAAUAUGUAUAUGUAAGACUGAAUGAAAAUGAAAAGAGAAUCAAUGCUGAAAAAUGUCUAAUAGCUCAACAAUACUUGACCAUGAAGAAAGAAGAAACCACUUCGAAUUCGGUGUUUUCAGUGAAACAGUACAUUAAACAUGAUGUUCAUUUCAUCCCGACGUCCUAACGCCUACUACCUGUGCUAGGAUCCACACUGUAACAUGGGCAUUAGAAACAAUGUGUCUGUUUUGAAUACGCUUUUCUCUUUUGGCUUAGGUGCAUGUUUAAGAUUCCUGCGCACUCCAAACUCAAUGCCUACAGCAGUUUGUUUGAGUCGGACUUAGUGCCAACCCUGGACGGGGAAAGAGGAACUGCUCCAUGUCAAAUGCUAAUUACGGGAUGGUCAGCUGCACCAAGACAAUUUAUUGUUGUAAGAACUUGUAAAAGAUCUUUCCUCUUUCCUAAACAGAAUUUUUUUAAGGUCUGUUCACGCAGCCAAGAUAAUCAUGAAGUAAUACUAUAUAAUUAUAAGACAAUCAGAAGAACCCAAUGUAUAACAGUGAUGGUGGGUCUUCAAGUUACAAAGCAAUGUUUUGAGGCUGUUAGUUUGUGUGUUAGAUCUGAGCCAAUCUUUUUUGAACCAUUCAUAUCUAAAUGUUGCUCCCUCUAAUAUCCCUUGCCUCGAUCUAUCAAACAACAGCACGUAGGAAAUCAUAACUCACACCUGAGACAUUAAGUAAUGGUCAUAAA
Sinocyclocheilus anshuiensis is the source of this 1396-nucleotide long non-coding RNA. RefSeq lists it as uncharacterized. The record is from RefSeq and is a predicted model, not a curated record. The transcript is spliced from 2 exons. Lineage: Eukaryota; Metazoa; Chordata; Actinopteri; Cypriniformes; Cyprinidae.